RNAcentral lists this transfer RNA (61 nucleotides) under Clonorchis sinensis. Its description in RNAcentral is "tRNA-Gly". Lineage: Eukaryota; Metazoa; Platyhelminthes; Trematoda; Opisthorchiida; Opisthorchiidae. The record is from RNAcentral.
GUAGUAUAUGUGUCAAGUAUGCUGUCUUUCCAAGUCAGUGGUCUCGUUGUGGGUCCGUGUA